CAGGCUUAACACAUGCAAGUCGAGGGGCAUCAGGAAGAAAGCUUGCUUUCUUUGCUGGCGACCGGCGCACGGGUGAGUAACACGUAUCCAACCUGCCCUUUACUCGGGGAUAGCCUUUCGAAAGAAAGAUUAAUACCCGAUGGCAUAAUGAUUCCGCAUGGUUUCAUUAUUAAAGGAUUCCGGUAAAGGAUGGGGAUGCGUUCCAUUAGGUUGUUGGUGAGGUAACGGCUCACCAAGCCUUCGAUGGAUAGGGGUUCUGAGAGGAAGGUCCCCCACAUUGGAACUGAGACACGGUCCAAACUCCUACGGGAGGCAGCAGUGAGGAAUAUUGGUCAAUGGGCGCUAGCCUGAACCAGCCAAGUAGCGUGAAGGAUGAAGGCUCUAUGGGUCGUAAACUUCUUUUAUAUAAGAAUAAAGUGCAGUAUGUAUACUGUUUUGUAUGUAUUAUAUGAAUAAGGAUCGGCUAACUCCGUGCCAGCAGCCGCGGUAAUACGGAGGAUCCGAGCGUUAUCCGGAUUUAUUGGGUUUAAAGGGAGCGUAGGUGGACUGGUAAGUCAGUUGUGAAAGUUUGCGGCUCAACCGUAAAAUUGCAGUUGAUACUGUCAGUCUUGAGUACAGUAGAGGUGGGCGGAAUUCGUGGUGUAGCGGUGAAAUGCUUAGAUAUCACGAAGAACUCCGAUUGCGAAGGCAGCUCACUGGACUGCAACUGACACUGAUGCUCGAAAGUGUGGGUAUCAAACAGGAUUAGAUACCCUGGUAGUCCACACAGUAAACGAUGAAUACUCGCUGUUUGCGAUAUACAGUAAGCGGCCAAGCGAAAGCAUUAAGUAUUCCACCUGGGGAGUACGCCGGCAACGGUGAAACUCAAAGGAAUUGACGGGGGCCCGCACAAGCGGAGGAACAUGUGGUUUAAUUCGAUGAUACGCGAGGAACCUUACCCGGGCUUAAAUUGCAGUGGAAUGAUGUGGAAACAUGUCAGUGAGCAAUCACCGCUGUGAAGGUGCUGCAUGGUUGUCGUCAGCUCGUGCCGUGAGGUGUCGGCUUAAGUGCCAUAACGAGCGCAACCCUUAUCUUUAGUUACUAACAGGUCAUGCUGAGGACUCUAGAGAGACUGCCGUCGUAAGAUGUGAGGAAGGUGGGGAUGACGUCAAAUCAGCACGGCCCUUACGUCCGGGGCUACACACGUGUUACAAUGGGGGGUACAGAAGGCAGCUAGCGGGUGACCGUAUGCUAAUCCCAAAAGCCUCUCUCAGUUCGGAUCGAAGUCUGCAACCCGACUUCGUGAAGCUGGAUUCGCUAGUAAUCGCGCAUCAGCCACGGCGCGGUGAAUACGUUCCCGGGCCUUGUACACACCGCCCGUCAAGCCAUGGGAGCCGGGGGUACCUGAAGUACGUAACCGCAAGGAUCGUCCUAGGGUAAAACUGGUGACUGGGGCUAAGUCAUAACAA
RNAcentral lists this ribosomal RNA (1448 nucleotides) under uncultured organism. Its description in RNAcentral is "16S ribosomal RNA". It matches the Rfam family "Bacterial small subunit ribosomal RNA". The record is from RNAcentral.